Molecule: non-coding RNA, 355 nt
Filed under: Ornithorhynchus anatinus (platypus)
Lineage: Eukaryota; Metazoa; Chordata; Mammalia; Monotremata; Ornithorhynchidae
Description: Eukaryotic large subunit ribosomal RNA
Rfam family: Eukaryotic large subunit ribosomal RNA
Source: Rfam by way of RNAcentral
GUGGGGAGAGUAACUCUGAGAGGCUGUCAUUUCUGUGAUGUGCAUGUGUCAGGUGCACAUGCAUGUGUCAGGUGAGCUGCUCUGGAAACAGAAUUUGAUGGGGAAGUACAUUUACUGUACCACAACACAAAUGUCCUGAAGCAAGCUCAAGGAAAACAAAAACUUUAUGUGGGGAGUAGAAGAGAAGAAAGUGGCUUGUUCUUGAUUUUCAUUAAGACUACGGACCAUAAAAUCAGGGUCUCACAAUUAUUUGCUUUUCAGAAGUGUAAAUUGGAGGUCUCAGAACAGUUAAUGUAGGGAUAGCUGGUGGUCAACUGUCACUGAUAUCACUUUUCUUCCUCUACUUUGACUCUAC